UUUUAGCCCAGAUAGAAACGGAAAGCCUUUUGAGUCUCGUUGUAUUUUUUUCUGACAGAAAAGAGCGACUGCAAGAAGCUCCUUUUGUGGCUUGAAAAAAAACAAACGAGAGAAAAAAAGCUUGUAGUGUAUAGCUGGAGUAGCU
RNAcentral lists this small RNA (145 nucleotides) under Flavobacterium swingsii. RNAcentral's name for it is "Flavo-1 RNA". It matches the Rfam family "Flavo-1 RNA". Lineage: Bacteria; Pseudomonadati; Bacteroidota; Flavobacteriia; Flavobacteriales; Flavobacteriaceae. The record is from RNAcentral.